This 333-nucleotide ribosomal RNA is filed under the name uncultured beta proteobacterium. Its description in RNAcentral is "bacterial SSU rRNA". It matches the Rfam family "Bacterial small subunit ribosomal RNA", at positions 448 to 779 of the family's 1533-position model. The record is from RNAcentral. Lineage: Bacteria; Pseudomonadati; Pseudomonadota; Betaproteobacteria.
CUCUUUCUAAUAAAGAGGGGUCAUGACGGUACCGUAAGAAUAAGCACCGGCUAACUACGUGCCAGCAGCCGCGGUAAUACGUAGGGUGCAAGCGUUAAUCGGAAUUACUGGGCGUAAAGCGUGCGCAGGCGGUUUUGUAAGACAGAGGUGAAAUCCCCGGGCUCAACCUGGGAACUGCCUUUGUGACUGCAAGGCUGGAGUGCGGCAGAGGGGGAUGGAAUUCCGCGUGUAGCAGUGAAAUGCGUAGAUAUGCGGAGGAACACCGAUGGCGAAGGCAAUCCCCUGGGCCUGCACUGACGCUCAUGCACGAAAGCGUGGGGAGCAAACAGGAUU